UACGUAGGGUGCAAGCGUUAAUCGGAAUUACUGGGCGUAAAGCGUGCGCAGGCGGCUAUGCAAGACAGAUGUGAAAUCCCCGGGCUCAACCUGGGAACUGCAUUUGUGACUGCAUAGCUAGAGUACGGUAGAGGGGGAUGGAAUUCCGCGUGUAGCAGUGAAAUGCGUAGAUAUGCGGAGGAACACCGAUGGCGAAGGCAAUCCCCUGGGCCUGUACUGACGCUCAUGCACGAAAGCGUGGGGAG
RNAcentral lists this ribosomal RNA (245 nucleotides) under uncultured bacterium. RNAcentral's name for it is "partial 16S ribosomal RNA". It matches the Rfam family "Bacterial small subunit ribosomal RNA", at positions 524 to 768 of the family's 1533-position model. The record is from RNAcentral.